Drosophila hydei is the source of this 1122-nucleotide long non-coding RNA. RefSeq lists it as uncharacterized. The transcript is spliced from 3 exons. The record is from RefSeq and is a predicted model, not a curated record. NCBI's taxonomy places the organism in Eukaryota, Metazoa, Arthropoda, Insecta, Diptera, Drosophilidae.
AAUAUAUUAACAUAUAUAUUAUGAAAAAAUGCGCUCUUGAAUAAUUGAAGCUUAUAAAACAUUUAUAGCUACGACACGUUUCCAACAAGAAUGCAACAAAUAAAAUGUCAUAUCAAGUGCAUAUGUCUGUGUGUGUGUAUUUGUGUGUGUGCUGCUGGUAAAUGCUUUAAUUAAAAGCCAGGCAUAAACAAAACGCGUCAUUUGGAUUAUCAGUGGCAACAAAAACUGUAGCAGAGCACCGAAUACGGACUUGGCUCAACGAAGCAGCUGUCAAGCUCUUUAAAAAUUUAAAUUUGAACAAGAGAACCCACUACAAUCCCAUUAACUGCAGACAUUAGAGGCAAACCAAAAAAAAAAAAAAGGAAAAAAACGUAAAGAAAUAUCGAAGAAAAUUCGAAAAAUUAAAGCAGCAGCAGAUAAAAGAAGGCACUUUGAUUGCAACAUAAAAUUGCCACAGAAAAUUGCAUAAAAUUGCAAAAAAAAAAAAAAAAAGGAGAUCAAGAGAAAGGGAGAUAGUGAGAGACAGGCGAAAAAAUACGAAGAUAGUCGCAUCUAAACGGGGUCAGUAAUUUGCUGCACGAUUGCCAGCCGAGCCAACCAGCCAACGAACUGGAAGUUUAAUUGCCACGGCUCUCAUUGUUGGCGUUGCUGUUGCCGUCUGAAGCGAAUGCAACAAUUAAAGCCAAAAACUUUUUGGACAAAAUGCUGCUGCCAACGCCCUGCCCCCAACUAGCUGAGCAAAUCCAUUGGCAACAACAUUUGUGCAGGGCAUAAGAAACAAACGGAGCACGCACUAGCAACAGACAAACAAACAAGCUCCCACUAUAGCCAGCAGGAGUAUCUUGAGAAGUAGCCGAACAGCGCAGCAGGAGCAGGAGGCGUGGCAGCAGAAGCAAAGCUUCAAAAUUGUCUGCUUCUAAUUUGAAUGGACUCAACAGCAUUCGACAUACAAAUGCAUAUUUGGAAACUUUUGUUAAUUGGUAAGUGACAAUGCUUCGACUUCUUUUUACGCUUCAAUGAAAGGGAAAUCUUGACCCAGUCGCCGGCCCAGUUAGCCAGUUAGCCAGAAGUUGGCUCAGGCACCAAAUAAGAAUGCUAAUUUUCAACUUUCAAUGCGCUGCA